AACGAACGCUGGCGGCAUGCCUAACACAUGCAAGUCGAACGAGACCUUCGGGUCUAGUGGCGCACGGGUGCGUAACGCGUGGGAACCUGCCCUUAGGGUCGGCAUAACUCCCCGAAAGGGAUGCUAAUACCGGAUAAUGUCUUCGGACCAAAGAUUUAUCGCCUUUGGAGGGGCCCGCGUUGGAUUAGCUAGUUGGUAGGGUAAAAGACUCCUAAGGCGACGAUCCAUACAUGGUCUGAGAGGAUGAUCAGCCACACUGGGACUGAGACACGGCCCAGACUCCUACGGGAGGCAGCAGUGGGGAAUAUUGGACAAUGGGCGAAAGCCUGAUCCAGCAAUGCCGCGUGAGUGAUGAAGGCCUGAGGGUUGUAAAGCUCUUUUACCCGGGAUGAUAAUGACAGUACCGGGAGAAUAAGCUCCGGCUAACUCCGUG
RNAcentral lists this ribosomal RNA (433 nucleotides) under uncultured bacterium. RNAcentral describes it as "partial 16S ribosomal RNA". It matches the Rfam family "Bacterial small subunit ribosomal RNA", at positions 29 to 507 of the family's 1533-position model. The record is from RNAcentral.